ACGCUCGACACCUACGAGGCAGCAGUCGGGAAUAUUGCGCAAUGGAGGAAACUCUGACGCAGUGACGCCGCGUGCAGGAAGAAGGUUUUCGGAUUGUAAACUGCUUUAGACAGGGAAGAAAAAGGACAGUACCUGUAGAAUAAGCUCCGGCUAACUACGUGCCAGCAGCCGCGGUAAUCUGAGCGGGCUGGCAAGGC
RNAcentral lists this ribosomal RNA (197 nucleotides) under uncultured bacterium. RNAcentral describes it as "partial 16S ribosomal RNA". It matches the Rfam family "Bacterial small subunit ribosomal RNA", at positions 326 to 539 of the family's 1533-position model. The record is from RNAcentral.